AGAGAAAAGGAGGGUGACCUUGAGCAAGCCACUGGGCCUCACCUCACAUCUCCCUCCUCCCAAAGGCGGGGGCAGCUCCAGCCAAUCCUGAACCCGCAGCCCUGCCAGACAGACUGGGACUGUCCCAAGCUCUGGCCCACGCGAGGCUGGCCUCUGCGGUGUGGUGCCUGGGACCCCGGCCAGGCCCUCAGUGGCCACAGCCAAGGGGCUAAGCUUGGGGAGGGAGCACUGUGAAGAGGCUGAGAAGGUGACAGAGGUGACAGUCUGGUGCUUGGCACCGCCUCAGCACUGCAGCCUCGUGAGGAGAGGGCUAAAGGAGAUCAUCCACUGCUCUGGAUUCCUGCCUUCAGUCUGAUCUCUCCAAUCUAUCAUGUACACGUAGCUGGACACGGAUUCUUAAAGACUGCUUUGAUCAUGUUCCCCCCACAACCACCUCCUGCUCAAUAAACUUCCAUGGCUCCCUAUCGCCUUCUGAGCAAAUCUGGACCUUCUUCUCCUCUCCUGGCCCAGUACUCAAGCGCUUUCUAGCCUG
Long non-coding RNA from Manis javanica (Malayan pangolin), 532 nucleotides. RefSeq lists it as uncharacterized. The record is from RefSeq and is a predicted model, not a curated record. Lineage: Eukaryota; Metazoa; Chordata; Mammalia; Pholidota; Manidae.